Molecule: ribosomal RNA, 399 nt
Filed under: uncultured bacterium
Lineage: Bacteria
Description: bacterial SSU rRNA
Rfam family: Bacterial small subunit ribosomal RNA
Source: RNAcentral
GAUGAAACGCUAGCGACAGGCUUAACACAUGCAAGUCGAGGGGCAGCGGGGUAGCAAUACCCGCCGGCGACCGGCGCACGGGUGAGUAACGCGUAUGCAAACUUACCUAUCAGAGGGGGAUAACCCGGCGAAAGUCGGACUAAUACCGCAUGAACGCAGGGAUCCCGCAUGGGAAUAUUUGCUAAAAGAUUCAUCGCUGAUAGAUAGGCAUGCGUUCCAUUAGGCAGUUGGCGGGUAACGGCCCACCAAACCGACGAUGGAUAGGGGUCUGACGAGGAAGGUCCCCCACAUUGGUACUGAGACACGGACCAAACUCCUACGGGAGGCAGCAGUGAGGAAUAUUGGUCAAUGGCCGAGAGGCUGAACCAGCCAAAGUCGCGUGAGGGAUGAAGGUUCUAA